CGCUGAUGGACGGUGUCCGGCGAGGUCCACUUUCUGGCUCACCGAUUGCACCGUCUUGCUGGGUCAUCACACAGCAGAGGUGGGGAGGCAGCUUGCUGAAGUCAUUUUUAUAAAAACACUAAUUCCAUUCUAAUGGCUUCCCAAAGGCCCGGCUCCUGAUGCUUGGGGUUUAGGAUUUCAACAAUGGAAUCUUCCGGGACAGAGACAUCAAGAUUCAGUUUGCAGCAUCCACUAGACAAUUCUUCAAUUACUCUACAGAUCUUCCUUUCUGGGUCACAGAGAGCAUGUUCAUUGCCUUCAAGAUGCUUAUCCUCAGUCAGUGGUUGCCACGAGCCAGGGUGGAGGGAGAGACAACAAAGAGACGGAACACUCCUUUGUGUGAGCACUGAAGACUGUGAGUGCGGCACCCGAUGGAGCAAAGCAACUUUUUCACCUUUGAUUCCCCAGCAUCUUCAGCAGUUGGGUGGAGGAAAUCUAGUCUCAUGGCAGCCUGGAAGCAGCGGGAAAGAGAGAAGGAAGAAGUAACCUGCCUUGUCCAAUUAGAUUCAACAUCCUAGCAGCACCUUCAACUCUCAUGAGUCCAGCCUCCCAUGACGGGGUCACCUUCCCAAGCC
Molecule: long non-coding RNA, 614 nt
Filed under: Fukomys damarensis (Damara mole-rat)
Lineage: Eukaryota; Metazoa; Chordata; Mammalia; Rodentia; Bathyergidae
Description: lncRNA (ENSFDAG00000031714.1)
Source: RNAcentral